AUAUUGGACAAUGGGGGAAACCCUGAUGCAGAGACGCCGCGUGAGCGAAGAAGGCCUUCGGGUCGUAAAGCUCUGUCCUAAGAGAAGAAACGGACGGUACCCUAGGAGGAAGCCCUGGCUAACUACGUGCCAGCAGCCGCGGUAAUACGCAGGGGGCGGGCGUUAUCCGGAAUUACUGGGCGUAAAGGGUGCGUAGGCGGCCUUUUAAGUCAGAUGGGAAAGGCAACGGCUUAACCGAAGUUAGCAUUUGACACUAAAAGGCUUGGGUGUAGGAGAGGAGAGUGGAAAUCGUAGUGUAGCGGUGAAAUGCGUAGAUAUUAGGAGGAACACAAGUGGCGAAGGCGAAUCUCUGGACUGCAACUGACGCUGAGGCACGAAAGCGUGGGUAGCGAACAGG
This 397-nucleotide ribosomal RNA is filed under the name uncultured bacterium. Its description in RNAcentral is "partial 16S ribosomal RNA". It matches the Rfam family "Bacterial small subunit ribosomal RNA", at positions 361 to 776 of the family's 1533-position model. The record is from RNAcentral.